GACUGUUCGCCCGAGUGGUUAAGGGGAUGGACUUAAGAACUUCUGGACACUGUCUGCGGGGUUCGAACCCCACAGCACUCA
Non-coding RNA from Perkinsus olseni, 81 nucleotides. Lineage: Eukaryota; Perkinsozoa; Perkinsida; Perkinsidae. The record is from the annotation of a GenBank genome assembly.